Molecule: ribosomal RNA, 460 nt
Filed under: uncultured bacterium
Lineage: Bacteria
Description: partial 16S ribosomal RNA
Rfam family: Bacterial small subunit ribosomal RNA
Source: RNAcentral
CCUACGGGUGGCAGCAGUGAGGAAUAUUGGUCAAUGGACGCAAGUCUGAACCAGCCAUGCCGCGUGCAGGAAGACGGCUCUAUGAGUUGUAAACUGCUUUUGUACGAGGGUAAACGCAGAUACGCGUAUCUGUCUGAAAGUAUCGUACGAAUAAGGAUCGGCUAACUCCGUGCCAGAAGCCGCGGUAAUACGGAGGAUUCAAGCGUUAUCCGGAUUUAUUGGGUUUAAAGGGUGCGUAGGCGGUCGGAUAAGUUAGAGGUGAAAUCCCGAGGCUCAACUUCGGAAUUGCCUCUGAUACUGGUCGGCUAGAGAGUAGUUGCGGUAGGCGGAAUGUAUGGUGUAGCGGUGGAAUGCUUAGAGAUCAUACAGAACACCGAUUGCGAAGGCAGCUUACCAAGCUACUUCUGACGUUGAGGCACGAAAGCGUGGGGAGCAAACAGGAUUAGAUACCCCAGUAGUC